Molecule: ribosomal RNA, 497 nt
Filed under: uncultured bacterium
Lineage: Bacteria
Description: partial 16S ribosomal RNA
Rfam family: Bacterial small subunit ribosomal RNA
Source: RNAcentral
GAUGAACGCUGGCGGCGUGCCUAAUACAUGCAAGUCGAGCGAACAGACGAGGAGCUUGCUCCUCUGACGUUAGCGGCGGACGGGUGAGUAACACGUGGAUAACCUACCUAUAAGACUGGGAUAACUUCGGGAAACCGGAGCUAAUACCGGAUAAUAUAUUGAACCGCAUGGUUCAAUAGUGAAAGACGGUUUUGCUGUCACUUAUAGAUGGAUCCGCGCCGCAUUAGCUAGUUGGUAAGGUAACGGCUUACCAAGGCAACGAUGCGUAGCCGACCUGAGAGGGUGGUCGGCUACACGGGAAGUGAGACACGGUCCAGACUCCUACGGGAGGCAGCAGUAGGGAAUCUUCCGCAAUGGGCGAAAGCCUGACGGAGCAACGCCGCGUGAGUGAUGAAGGUCUUCGGAUCGUAAAGCUCUGUUAUUAGGGAAGAACAAAUGUGUAAGUAACUAUGCACGUCUUGACGGUACCUAAUCAGAAAGCCACGGCUAACUACGUG